UUUAUUUUGCUUUUAAGUGGACAUCCCUGGACAUCAAGUGCUGGCACUGCAAAUUGUCUCACAACGCUAAGUACUUCAAGUCUAUUCCGCAGUCCUGUAAUUAUCUGAGGAGAAAACUACAGAAUAAACUAAUCAAGUGUGAUGCCUUAAAGAAGCAACAGGAUUGUCAAGACUUUUGGGUGCUGAUUCCACAGGGCUAUCAUAGUUCACAGCUCAGAGAAAAACCUGAGGAUAUACAAUAAAGAAUGAUUGCUUCCAAGUGUUUGCCUUCCGGUGCCUUUGUAAGAACCAGUACGGAGCAGCCAGCCGUGAUUUCUCUAAGCCAAAGACGUGGGCAGUUGAAGAAAUGCCCAGCCAGAGUGCAGGGAUCGGCAUACUGCCAACAUCUGCCUCCUCGUCAUUAACACACAAAGCCCCAAAGAGAAACCGAGCAAAUAUUUCCUAAGCUGCUGUUUUCUGGGCCCUCUGAAUUGCAGAGAAGACUUGAAGAGCCUUGGGAGAAGUACAGAACCUCCAAAAGGAGCAAGAAAUAUUUUCAACAUGAAAGGCACCUUUUUUACUUGCAUCACAUUUAUCAUCGUGCCUGCCUUAAUAUGACAUCA
Strigops habroptila (Kakapo) is the source of this 602-nucleotide long non-coding RNA. RefSeq lists it as uncharacterized. The transcript is spliced from 6 exons. NCBI's taxonomy places the organism in Eukaryota, Metazoa, Chordata, Aves, Psittaciformes, Psittacidae. The record is from RefSeq and is a predicted model, not a curated record.